CAAAAGUGCAACUUCUGUCUCGCAUUAAAAUCUAGAGCCAGAAAAAACAGGGAGAUCACAGGGCCAAAUGCCGAGGCUGUUAGACUGGCAGUCUCCAAGUAAGUCAGCUACCUGUAUCAUCUCCAAGGCUUACUCCCCAAAGACCCAAGAUUCCUCUCAUAAGACUUCCAAACACCAUACCACAAGUUCUCCUGGUAGGAGGUUGCUGGUGGAAGUUGAAGUUGCCGGUGACUCCAGCCACUUCGGCUCCCAUUGGUCUCUGACCUGGUACCCAUGAGGCUGCUGAUUCCUCAGGUACCGAGGGCUCUGUUAUGCCUAGAGACCCCAACAUUUUGGGCUCUGAUAGACCAUUGGUACUGACAGAGGAGCGAGGCAGCAAGAAGAGAUCUACCUCUUCAGACUCCGUACCAAAAAAAGACCACUUGGUCGCCAUCUGGACUCCCAUCAGGGCAUUUGAGAUUCAUAGUACUGUCAGCUCUCUCUGCUACCAUUACUUUGGCUCAAGCUAUGGACAUGGCUAUGGGCACAGGAACCUCAUCGUCGUUGGAUGCACAAAUACAGAAUAACCUUCUAUUGGAGAAUGGAAACGCGUGAUGGCUUCCAAGUGGACGCUAAAAACUCAGCAACAGCCCCAAGUUUUUUAGUUCUAGAAUGUAAUCCAAUAUGUCUGCAGCAAAAUGAAGGUGUCAGUGGAAUGUGUUUGAGGUCACACCAGCAAGCAAAUCUUACCCAUUUUUAUAAGUAAAUGUAAUACGUACAUGCUUUUCUGCUGUGUAAUAGCACUCUUUUUACUUCCUCUGAACAGGUCAUUUCUAAUCCCGUGAACCAUUGACCAGCCAUGCUUUGAGGCAAAGAACUCCGAUCUUGGGGGUGAAGGAUCUUCCCACGUUCCUGAGAGAGAAGAUGAGGAGCUACCUGGAGAGUGAUUGUAGGACUUUGGAUAUUAGAGGAGUUGAGGGGAACGCAUACAGUAGACCUGAUGACCACUGAAGGUGAAAGGCAUCCCCCAAGGAUCAGUGGUUCAGCCUGCCUCCAGAGCAGAACUGGGUGCCCCAUUGCCGGAAUAGUGAUGAAGUAUGAUGAGAUCUAUCUCCCACUCACGGUCUCGAGAGAAGUGCCUGCUGAGUGUGUCUGCCAUCACAUUCUGAACUCCUGGGAGAAAGAAGAUUAAAGCAAGAUCAAGAAAAAAUGAAAAACUGAUAAAACGGAGAAUGUGCCCUCAUGCAGGUUUCUUUUGUGUCAUCAGUUUCCCAUCACAAAUGGUACAUUUCUGUACACUGCCUCUUAGUUUCCUUCUUGAUUACCAGUAAAGUCUAAUGCAUUUUCAG
Long non-coding RNA from Mauremys reevesii (Reeves's turtle), 1328 nucleotides. RefSeq lists it as uncharacterized. The transcript is spliced from 3 exons. The record is from RefSeq and is a predicted model, not a curated record. NCBI's taxonomy places the organism in Eukaryota, Metazoa, Chordata, Testudines, Geoemydidae.